This 574-nucleotide ribosomal RNA is filed under the name uncultured marine bacterium. RNAcentral's name for it is "bacterial SSU rRNA". It matches the Rfam family "Bacterial small subunit ribosomal RNA", at positions 350 to 916 of the family's 1533-position model. The record is from RNAcentral.
AGCAGUGGGGAAUUUUGGACAAUGGGGGAAACCCUGAUCCAGCCAUCCCGCGUGUGCGAUGAAGGCCUUCGGGUUGUAAAGCACUUUUGGCAGGAAAGAAACGUCAUGGGUUAAUACCCCGUGAAACUGACGGUACCUGCAGAAUAAGCACCGGCUAACUACGUGCCAGCAGCCGCGGUAAUACGUAGGGUGCAAGCGUUAAUCGGAAUUACUGGGCGUAAAGCGUGCGCAGGCGGUUCGGAAAGAAAGAUGUGAAAUCCCAGAGCUUAACUUUGGAACUGCAUUUUUAACUACCGAGCUAGAGUGUGUCAGAGGGAGGUGGAAUUCCGCGUGUAGCAGUGAAAUGCGUAGAUAUGCGGAGGAACACCGAUGGCGAAGGCAGCCUCCUGGGAUAACACUGACGCUCAUGCACGAAAGCGUGGGGAGCAAACAGGAUUAGAUACCCUGGUAGUCCACGCCGUAAACGAUGUCAACUAGCCGUUGGGAGCCUUGAGCUCUUAGUGGCGCAGCUAACGCAUUAAGUUGACCGCCUGGGGAGUACGGCCGCAAGGUUAAAACUCAAAUGAAUUGACGG